ACCUACGGGACGCAGCAGUGAGGAAUAUUGGUCAAUGGCCGCAGGGCUGAACCAGCCAAGUCGCGUGAGGGAUGACGGUCCUAUGGAUUGUAAACCUCUUUUGUCAGGGAACAAAGACUGGGACGCGUCCCCGGAUGAGUGUACCUGAAGAAAAAGCAUCGGCUAACUCCGUGCCAGCAGCCGCGGUAAUACGGAGGAUGCGAGCGUUAUCCGGAUUUAUUGGGUUUAAAGGGUGCGCAGGCGGUCUGUUAAGUCAGCGGUCAAAGCCCGGGGCUCAACCCCGGCCCGCCGUUGAAACUGGCAGU
Molecule: ribosomal RNA, 305 nt
Filed under: uncultured bacterium
Lineage: Bacteria
Description: bacterial SSU rRNA
Rfam family: Bacterial small subunit ribosomal RNA
Source: RNAcentral